Onychomys torridus (southern grasshopper mouse) is the source of this 785-nucleotide long non-coding RNA. RefSeq lists it as uncharacterized. The record is from RefSeq and is a predicted model, not a curated record. NCBI's taxonomy places the organism in Eukaryota, Metazoa, Chordata, Mammalia, Rodentia, Cricetidae. The transcript has 4 exons.
UCAUCUGGUUCCAGUGACAAUGAAGGCUGAGGUGUGCGCCUUUUUCUUUUCUUUCUUUCUUUUUUUUUUUUCUUUCUCUUAAUCAUGUGGCCAUCUCUGAGAAUGGAGGGGACUCAGUGGCUUUACAUUGGCUGCUUUCUAAGUUUCAAAGUGACUUUCCAGGCAAGCUGAGCAUGUCUUGGGAUCUUCACAGCACAGUGGCUGGGACAUUCAUCAGCUUCUCCCUGGUUUCAGGAUCCACAGCAUCGCAGGCAGAAGAAGGGAUGAAAUGCAUGGGCUCUCUCACUGAAUCAGCCUUGGAGAUGCUCUGGACACUGUCCCCACCCUUCAAACGCAGGCUGAGCUUAUACCAUGGCAGAGCUCAGUGAGAACUAAAGACACUAGAUGCCCACUCCACUGCUGAGGUCCAGAUGCAGCAGGUGCAGGCUGCUUCAGCUCAGCUCCUGUGAGACAGAAAUGAGUCGUCACUGCUGAAGGAAUGAUGCCACUCAGGGCCAGUGGCCACAGAAAGGCUGGGAACUGCACACCACGGAGACCAGCGAUGGUAGCCAAGGCCUCAGCACUCUGACAAAUGUGUACACACAGGAAACAGAUGGACAGAAUCACAGUUUGCAGGAUGCUGUACCUAAAACAAUGAGACAAAAGACAGGGGAAAGAAGCUCAGAAGAAGCAGAGAGGCCCUGCAGGGCUUUUGCAGGGACUGUGCUUGUCUACGUGGAAAACUCAAGAGAGUCUUCAAAUAAACUGUUCAAAAGCAAAGUUGGCAAAAUCCAUCCAAUAGAAGA